AUGUUAUCAUAAUAACUAAGACCAAAGUGCAACUAAGCUGUCAUAAGCCAAAGAUGUACCUAAGACCCUCCUUACAAACGAUCUUAGUACUUUAGAUUAAUUUAAUUCCACGAAAGCUAAGACACAAACUGGGAUUAGAUACCCCACUAUGCUUAGCCCUAAAUCUUGAUGUUAUCUCAUACUAAAACAUCCGCCCGAGAACUACGAGCACAAACGCUUAAAACUCUAAGGACUUGGCGGUGCCUAAACCCACCUAGAGGAGCCUGUUCUAUAAUCGAUAACCCACGUUACACCCGACCGCCUCUUGCCAAAGCAGCCUACAUACCGCCGUCGCCAGCUCACCUUCUCUGAGAGUUCAAUAGUGAGCACAAUAGCCAAACCCGCUAAUAAGACAGGUCGAGGUAUAGCCACGGGGCGGAAGAAAUGGCUACAUUUUCUAAAAUAGAAAACCUACGGAAGGAGGCGUGAAACCGCCUCCCGAAGGCGGAUUUAGCAGUAAAGAGGGACAAUACAAGCCCUCUUUAAACUGGCCCUGGGCACGUACAUACCGCCCG
Molecule: ribosomal RNA, 554 nt
Filed under: Tringa semipalmata (Willet)
Lineage: Eukaryota; Metazoa; Chordata; Aves; Charadriiformes; Scolopacidae
Description: partial 12S ribosomal RNA
Rfam family: Bacterial small subunit ribosomal RNA
Source: RNAcentral